UGGGGAAUAUUGCACAAUGGGCGCAAGCCUGAUGCAGCCAUGCCGCGUGUGCGAAGAAGGCCUUCGGGUUGUAAAGCACUUUCAGCGAGGAGGAAGGGUAGUGUGUUAAUAGCACAUUGCAUUGACGUUACUCGCAGAAGAAGCACCGGCUAACUCCGUGCCAGCAGCCGCGGUAAUACGGAGGGUGCAAGCGUUAAUCGGAAUUACUGGGCGUAAAGCGCACGCAGGCGGUUUGUUAAGUCAGAUGUGAAAUCCCCGCGCUUAACGUGGGAACUGCAUUUGAAACUGGCAAGCUAGAGUCUUGUAGAGGGGGGUAGAAUUCCAGGUGUAGCGGUGAAAUGCGUAGAGAUCUGGAGGAAUACCGGUGGCGAAGGCGGCCCCCUGGACAAAGACUGACGCUCAGGUGCGAAAGCGUGGGGAGCAAACA
Molecule: ribosomal RNA, 427 nt
Filed under: uncultured bacterium
Lineage: Bacteria
Description: partial 16S ribosomal RNA
Rfam family: Bacterial small subunit ribosomal RNA
Source: RNAcentral